GUUUGGUUAAGUUAGAAAGGGCGCACGGUGGAUGCCUUGACACUAGGAGUCGAUGAAGGACGGGACUAACGCCGAUAUGCUUCGGGGAGCUGUAAGUAAGCUUUGAUCCGAAGAUUUCCGAAUGGGGAAACCCACCAUACGUAAUGGUAUGGUAUCCUUACCUGAAUACAUAGGGUAAGGAAGACAGACCCAGGGAACUGAAACAUCUAAGUACCUGGAGGAAGAGAAAGCAAAUGCGAUUUCCUGAGUAGCGGCGAGCGAAACGGAAUCUAGCCCAAACCAAGAGGCUUGCCUCUUGGGGUUGUAGGACAUUCUAUACGGAGUUACAAAGGAACGAGGUAGACGAAGCAGCCUGGAAAGGCUCGUCA
This 368-nucleotide ribosomal RNA is filed under the name Bacillus pseudomycoides. RNAcentral's name for it is "bacterial LSU rRNA". It matches the Rfam family "Bacterial large subunit ribosomal RNA", at positions 1 to 357 of the family's 2925-position model. The record is from RNAcentral. Lineage: Bacteria; Bacillati; Bacillota; Bacilli; Caryophanales; Bacillaceae.